Molecule: unclassified non-coding RNA, 127 nt
Filed under: uncultured Bacillota bacterium
Lineage: Bacteria; Bacillati; Bacillota
Description: uncultured Firmicutes bacterium partial contains 16S ribosomal RNA, 16S-23S ribosomal RNA intergenic spacer, and 23S ribosomal RNA
Source: RNAcentral
CUGGAUCACCUCCUUUCUAAGGAGAACUCAAGUAGUCUGAGGGCUAUUUGCAGUGUCCUAAGGUCAGACGUUGGGUGCGGGGUGACGACUUACGUUGUUUGAUUUAGAGGGNNCNCGGUGGAUGCCU